Molecule: long non-coding RNA, 683 nt
Organism: Lagopus leucura (white-tailed ptarmigan)
Lineage: Eukaryota; Metazoa; Chordata; Aves; Galliformes; Phasianidae
Exons: 3
Source: RefSeq, a predicted model, not a curated record
GCUGAAUGGUUGCCUCUGAUACACAGCACCCCAACUGCUCCCAGGGCAGAUGAAUGAAACUUUGUCAGAGAGCACUGAAUGAAGAAGAAAGAGCUCAUUUCCCUCCCCAGAUUCCUCCUGAAUUCACGGGAGCUGAACAAAUAGUAUCAGAAAGUGUAUCAGGACAAGAGAGAAGACAGAAGCACAUAGGCAGAUUUUGGGGAAGCUGAUGAGCAUCCGCUCCCAUCGCAGAUUUUUACAUUCAGGAUGAAAUCAGCAAAUUUUAGAGCUUGCCGAGAUUGAAACGAUGGUGUUUAGCGAUGCAGCCACGAGCACGCAGAGCCCAGCACUGCUUUGCUCCCAGUAAUGAGUCCCCCUGGGGGGUCACAGCCCCCACUGCAUGGGGCUGCCCAAAGCCCUUUGCCUUGUGGUAAGUCUGCUAACCCCACUCCAAUCCCUGCUGAAAACACCUCCAGCUGUCUCCAUGGGCAUUUGCACAGCCAGUCCAACCCCAUCAUCUUACCCAUGAGUGCCACAUAGCCUUUCACUGUACACCUAUCCUGCAAAACCCCAGGCUGAACCAGCUCUUGUGGUGUCAUUGGCAUCCAAAUCCCAUGGGAUGGACUGCCCUCUGCGCAGAUAAAUCCUUUUCUCAGUUCUCAAAAAACAAAGGCCUGGCACAUCGAGCAAUUUCUAUCAUUCCA